CCUACGGGUGGCAGCAGUGGGGAAUCUUCCGCAAUGGACGAAAGUCUGACGGAGCAACGCCGCGUGAGUGAUGACGGCCGUCGGGUUGUAAAGCUCUGGUAAUCGGGACGAAAGGCCUUCUUGCGAAUAGUGAGAAGGAUUGACGGUACCGGAAUAGAAAGCCACGGCUAACUACGUGCCAGCAGCCGCGGUAAUACGUAGGUGGCAAGCGUUGUCCGGAAUUAUUGGGCGGAAAGCGCGCGCAGGCGGAUAGGUCAGUCUGUCUUAAAAGGUCGGGGCUUAACCCCGUGAUGGGAUGGAAACUGCCAAUCUAGAGUAUCGGAGAGGAAAGUGGAAUUCCUAGUGUAGCGGUGAAAUGCGUAGAUAUUAGGAAGAACACCAGUGGCGAAGGCGACUUUCUGGACGAACACUGACGCUGAGGCGCGAAAGCCAGGGGAGCGAACGGGAUUAGAUACCCUUGUAGUC
Molecule: ribosomal RNA, 465 nt
Filed under: uncultured Veillonella sp.
Lineage: Bacteria; Bacillati; Bacillota; Negativicutes; Veillonellales; Veillonellaceae
Description: bacterial SSU rRNA
Rfam family: Bacterial small subunit ribosomal RNA
Source: RNAcentral